UACGGGGGGGGCAAGCGUUGUUCGGAAUUACUGGGCGUAAAGGGCUUGUAGGUGGCCAACUAAGUCAGACGUGAAAUCCCUCGGCUUAACCGGGGAACUGCGUCUGAUACUGGAUGGCUUGAGUGUGGGAGAGGGAUGCGGAAUUCCAGGUGUAGCGGUGAAAUGCGCAGAUAUCAGGAGGAACACCGGUGGCGAAGGCGGAUCUCUGGGCCUUACCUGACGCUGAGGCGCGAAAGCUAGGGGAGCGAACUGG
Molecule: ribosomal RNA, 253 nt
Filed under: uncultured bacterium
Lineage: Bacteria
Description: partial 16S ribosomal RNA
Rfam family: Bacterial small subunit ribosomal RNA
Source: RNAcentral